This 607-nucleotide ribosomal RNA is filed under the name uncultured bacterium. RNAcentral's name for it is "bacterial SSU rRNA". It matches the Rfam family "Bacterial small subunit ribosomal RNA", at positions 338 to 1415 of the family's 1533-position model. The record is from RNAcentral.
CCUACGGGAGGCAGCAGUAGGGAAUUUUCCGCAAUGGGCGAAAGCCUGACGGAGCAAUACCGCGUGAGGGAUGACGGCCUGUGGGUUGUAAACCUCUUUUCUCAAGGAAGAAGUUCUGACGGUACUUGAGGAAUAAGCAUCGGCUAACUCUGUGCCAGCAGCCGCGGUAAUACAGAGGAUGCAAGCGUUAUCCGGAAUCACUGGGCAUAAAGCGUCUGUAGGUUGUUUAGUAAGUCUGCUGUUAAAGACUGGGGCUUAACCCCAGAAAAGCAGUGGAAACUGCUAGACUCGAGUGUGGUAGAGGUAGAGGGAAUUCCUAGUGUAGCGGUGAAAUGCGUAGAUAUUAGGAAGAACACCAAUGGCGAAGGCACUCUACUGGGCCAUAACUGACACUGAGAGACGACAGCUAGGGGAGCAAACGGGAUUAGAUACCCCGGUAGUCCUAGCCGUAAACGAUGGAUACUAGAUGUUGCACGUAUUAACCCGUGCAGUAUCGUAGCUAAGGCGUUAAGUAUCCCGCCUGGGAAGUACGCNCGCAGAGUAGAACGUUAAAGGUAAAGUUAGACGGACGUGAGACGUGCCGACGGACGACGACGAGGGAGGUAGG